This 241-nucleotide ribosomal RNA is filed under the name uncultured Lactobacillus sp. RNAcentral describes it as "partial 16S ribosomal RNA". It matches the Rfam family "Bacterial small subunit ribosomal RNA", at positions 123 to 354 of the family's 1533-position model. The record is from RNAcentral. Lineage: Bacteria; Bacillati; Bacillota; Bacilli; Lactobacillales; Lactobacillaceae.
AACCUCGCCCCAUAGUCUGGGAUACCACUUGGAAACAGGUGCUAAUACCGGAUAAGAAAGCAGAUCGCAUGAUCAGCUUUUAAAAGGCGGCGUAAGCUGUCGCUAUGGGAUGGCCCCGCGGUGCAUUAGCUAGUUGGUAAGGUAAAGGCUUACCAAGGCGAUGAUGCAUAGCCGAGUUGAGAGACUGAUCGGCCACAUUGGGACUGAGACACGGCCCAAACUCCUACGGGAGGCAGCAGGC